UCUGCGCGCACCGCCAUUUUCUAGGA
RNAcentral lists this non-coding RNA (26 nucleotides) under Homo sapiens (human). Lineage: Eukaryota; Metazoa; Chordata; Mammalia; Primates; Hominidae. The record is from RNAcentral.